UACGUAGGGGGCGAGCGUUGUCCGGAUUUACUGGGCGUAAAGAGCGCGUAGGCGGAGAUCUAAGCGUGGCCUGAAAGCCCCCGGCUCAACCGGGGAGUGCGGCUGCGAACUGGGUUUCUUGAGGACGAUAGAGGAGAGUGGAAUUCCUGGUGUAGCGGUGAAAUGCGUAGAUAUCAGGAGGAACACCAGUGGCGAAGGCGCCGCUCUGGGCCGUAACUGACGCUGAGAAGCGAAAGCGUGGGGAGCAAACAGG
Molecule: ribosomal RNA, 253 nt
Filed under: uncultured bacterium
Lineage: Bacteria
Description: partial 16S ribosomal RNA
Rfam family: Bacterial small subunit ribosomal RNA
Source: RNAcentral